This 253-nucleotide ribosomal RNA is filed under the name uncultured bacterium. RNAcentral's name for it is "partial 16S ribosomal RNA". It matches the Rfam family "Bacterial small subunit ribosomal RNA", at positions 524 to 776 of the family's 1533-position model. The record is from RNAcentral.
UACGUAGGGUGCGAGCGUUGUUCGGAAUUACUGGGCGUAAAGGGCUCGUAGGUGGCCAACUAAGUCAGACGUGAAAUCCCUCGGCUUAACCGGGGAACUGCGUCUGAUACUGGAUGGCUUGAGUUUGGGAGAGGGAUGCGGAAUUCCAGGUGUAGCGGUGAAAUGCGUAGAUAUCUGGAGGAACACCGGUGGCGAAGGCGGCAUCCUGGACCAACACUGACACUGAGGAGCGAAAGCCAGGGGAGCAAACGGG